CCUACGGGUGGCUGCAGUGGGGAAUAUUGGACAAUGGGGGCAACCCUGAUCCAGCCAUGCCGCGUGUGUGAAGAAGGCCCUCGGGUUGUAAAGCACUUUCAGUGAGGAAGAACGCCUGGUGGUUAAUACCCAUCAGGAAAGACAUCACUCACAGAAGAAGCACCGGCUAACUCCGUGCCAGCAGCCGCGGUAAUACGGAGGGUGCGAGCGUUAAUCGGAAUUACUGGGCGUAAAGCGCGCGUAGGUGGCUGGAUAAGCCGGUUGUGAAAGCCCCGGGCUCAACCUGGGAACGGCAUCCGGAACUGUCAAGCUAGAGUGCAGGAGAGGAAGGUAGAAUUCCCGGUGUAGCGGUGAAAUGCGUAGAGAUCGGGAGGAAUACCAGUGGCGAAGGCGGCCUUCUGGACUGACACUGACACUGAGGUGCUAAAGCGUGGGUAGCAAACAGGAUUAGAUACCCUGGUAGUC
Molecule: ribosomal RNA, 465 nt
Filed under: Vreelandella stevensii
Lineage: Bacteria; Pseudomonadati; Pseudomonadota; Gammaproteobacteria; Oceanospirillales; Halomonadaceae
Description: partial 16S ribosomal RNA
Rfam family: Bacterial small subunit ribosomal RNA
Source: RNAcentral